GAUGAACGCUAGCGGCAGGCCUAACACAUGCAAGUCGAGGGGCAGCACAGAAACAGCAAUGUUUUGGUGGCGACCGGCGGACGGGUGCGUAACGCGUAUGCAACCUACCUUUAACAGGGGGAUAACGGAGAGAAAUUUCCACUAAUACCCCAUAACAUCGAUCAAGGCAUCUUGAUUGGUUGAAAACUCCGGUGGUUAAAGAUGGGCAUGCGUUGUAUUAGGUAGUUGGUGAGGUAAUGGCUCACCAAGCCUACGAUACAUAGGGGGACUGAGGGGUUAGCCCCCCACACUGGUACUGGGACACGGACCAGACUCCUGCGGGAGGCAGCAGUGAGGAAUAUUGGUCAAUGGGGGCGACCCUGAACCAGCCAUGCCGCGUGCAGGAAGACGGCUCUAUGAGUUGUAAACUGCUUUUAAACAGGGAUAAAGCACAGUAUGUAUACUGUGUUGAAGGUACUGUAAGAAUAAGGAUCGGCUAACUCCGUGCCAGCCGCCGCCGUAA
RNAcentral lists this ribosomal RNA (502 nucleotides) under uncultured bacterium. RNAcentral's name for it is "partial 16S ribosomal RNA". It matches the Rfam family "Bacterial small subunit ribosomal RNA", at positions 28 to 523 of the family's 1533-position model. The record is from RNAcentral.